Molecule: ribosomal RNA, 460 nt
Filed under: uncultured bacterium
Lineage: Bacteria
Description: partial 16S ribosomal RNA
Rfam family: Bacterial small subunit ribosomal RNA
Source: RNAcentral
CCUACGGGUGGCAGCAGUGAGGAAUAUUGGUCAAUGGGCGCUAGCCUGAACCAGCCAAGUAGCGUGAAGGAUGACUGCCCUAUGGGUUGUAAACUUCUUUUAUAUGGGAGUAAAUUGCAGUAUGUAUACUGCUUUGCAUGUACCGUAUGAAUAAGGAUCGGCUAACUCCGUGCCAGCAGCCGCGGUAAUACGGAGGAUGCGAGCGUUAUCCGGAUUUAUUGGGUUUAAAGGGAGCGUAGGCGGGUGGUUAAGUCAGUGGUGAAAGUUUGGGGCUCAACCUGAGAAUUGCAGUUGAUACUGGCAGCCUAGAGUACAGUAGAGGUAGGCGGAAUGUGUGGUGUAGCGGUGAAAUGCUUAGAGAUCACGAAGAACUCCGAUUGCGAAGGCAGCUUGCUGGACUAUAACUGACGCUGAUGCUCGAAAGUGUGGGUAGCAAACAGGAUUAGAUACCCUUGUAGUC